UGUGUGUGUGUAUGUGUGUGUGUGUGUGUGUGUGUGUUUAGAGACACACACACACACACACACACACACCUCUCACU
This 77-nucleotide microRNA precursor is filed under the name Marmota monax (woodchuck). The record is from RNAcentral. Lineage: Eukaryota; Metazoa; Chordata; Mammalia; Rodentia; Sciuridae.